UACGUAGGGUGCAAGCGUUGUCCGGAAUUAUUGGGCGUAAAGAGCUCGUAGGCGGUCAGUCGCGUCUGCUGUGAAAACUCGGGGCUUAACUCCGGGCCUGCAGUGGGUACGGGCUGACUAGAGUGCGGUAGGGGAGACUGGAAUUCUCGGUGUAGCGGUGAAAUGCGUAGAUAUCGAGAGGAACACCUGCGGCGAAGGCGGGUUGCUGGGCUGACACUGACGCUGAUGCGCGAAAGCCAGGGGAGCGAACGGG
Molecule: ribosomal RNA, 253 nt
Filed under: uncultured bacterium
Lineage: Bacteria
Description: partial 16S ribosomal RNA
Rfam family: Bacterial small subunit ribosomal RNA
Source: RNAcentral